Molecule: ribosomal RNA, 301 nt
Filed under: uncultured bacterium
Lineage: Bacteria
Description: partial 16S ribosomal RNA
Rfam family: Bacterial small subunit ribosomal RNA
Source: RNAcentral
CAGCCGCCGCGGGAAUACGUAGGGUGCGAGCGUUAAUCGGAAUUACUGGGCGUAAAGCGUGCGCAGGCGGUUCGUUAAGACAGAUGUGAAAUCCCCGGGCUUAGCCUGGGAACUGCAUUUGUGACUGGCGGGCUAGAGUAUGGCAGAGGGGGGGUAGAAUUCCACGUGUAGCAGUGAAAUUCGUAGAUAUUGGGAAGAACACCAGUGGCGAAGGCGGCUCACUGGACCGACACUGACGCUGAGGCGCGAAAGCGUGGGGAGCAAACAGGAUUAGAUACCCCCGUAGUCCCUGUCUCUUAUA